Marmota flaviventris (yellow-bellied marmot) is the source of this 107-nucleotide small nuclear RNA. NCBI's taxonomy places the organism in Eukaryota, Metazoa, Chordata, Mammalia, Rodentia, Sciuridae. The record is from RefSeq and is a predicted model, not a curated record.
GUGCUCACUUAGGCAGCACAUAUGCUAAAACUGAAACCAUAUAGAGAAAAUUAGCAUGGCCCCUGUGCAGGGAUGACACUCAAAUUCGUGAAGCAUUCCAUAUUUUU